This 279-nucleotide ribosomal RNA is filed under the name uncultured bacterium. RNAcentral's name for it is "partial 16S ribosomal RNA". It matches the Rfam family "Bacterial small subunit ribosomal RNA", at positions 332 to 605 of the family's 1533-position model. The record is from RNAcentral.
CGGACCUACGGGAGGCAGCAGUAGGGAAUCUUCCACAAUGGACGAAAGUCUGAUGGAGCAACGCCGCGUGAGUGAAGAAGGGUUUCGGCUCGUAAAGCUCUGUUGGUAGUGAAGAAAGAUAGAGGUAGUAACUGGCCUUUAUUUGACGGUAAUUACUUAGAAAGUCACGGCUAACUACGUGCCAGCAGCCGCGGUAAUACGUAGGUGGCAAGCGUUGUCCGGAUUUAUUGGGCGUAAAGCGAGUGCAGGCGGGUCAAUUAAGCUGAUGUGAAAGGUUUU